RNAcentral lists this transfer RNA (77 nucleotides) under Chloroflexi bacterium RBG_16_56_11. Its description in RNAcentral is "tRNA-His". It matches the Rfam family "tRNA". From Rfam's summary of the family: Transfer RNA (tRNA) molecules are approximately 80 nucleotides in length. Their secondary structure includes four short double-helical elements and three loops (D, anti-codon, and T loops). The record is from RNAcentral. Lineage: Bacteria; Bacillati; Chloroflexota.
GUGGGUGUAGCCCAGCGGUCUAAGGCGUCAGGUUGUGGCCCUGAAGAUCGAGGGUUCAAAUCCCUCCACCCACCCCA